RNAcentral lists this ribosomal RNA (504 nucleotides) under uncultured bacterium. RNAcentral describes it as "partial 16S ribosomal RNA". It matches the Rfam family "Bacterial small subunit ribosomal RNA", at positions 30 to 523 of the family's 1533-position model. The record is from RNAcentral.
AUUGAACGCUGGCGGCACGCUUAACACAUGCAAGUCGAGCGGUAACAUGGGUAGUAGCAAUACUAUCUGAUGACGAGCGGCGGACGGGUGAGUAACACGUAGGAACUUGCCCAGUAGUGGGGGACAACCAAGGGAAACUUUGGCUAAUACCGCAUAUACUCGAGAGAGGAAAGCUGCCAGCAAUGGUGGCGCUAUUGGAGAGGCCUGCGUCCGGUUAGCUAGUUGGUGAGGUAAUAGCUUACCAAGGCGAGGAUCGGUAACCGGUCUGAGAGGGCGACCAGUCAAACUGGGACUGAGACACGGACCAGACUACUACGGGAGGCAGCAGUGGGGAAUCUUGGACAAUGGGGGCAACCCUGAUCCAGCGAUGCCGCGUGAGUGAAGAAGGCCUUCGGGUCGUAAAGCUCUUUAGGCUGGGAAGAAGGUUAGUAGUUUAAGAGAUAACUAGCUUGACUGUACCAGCAGAAUAAGCACCGGCAAACUCUGUGCCAGCCGCCGCCGUAA